RNAcentral lists this ribosomal RNA (389 nucleotides) under Suessiaceae sp. Its description in RNAcentral is "partial small subunit ribosomal RNA". It matches the Rfam family "Eukaryotic small subunit ribosomal RNA", at positions 582 to 975 of the family's 1831-position model. The record is from RNAcentral. Lineage: Eukaryota; Dinophyceae; Suessiales; Suessiaceae.
AUUCCAGCUCCAAUAGCGUAUAUUAAAGUUGUUGCGGUUAAAAAGCUCGUAGUUGGAUUUCUGCUGAGGAUGACCGGUCCGCCCUCCGGGUGAGUAUCUGGCUCAGCCUUGGCAUCUUCCUGAAGAACGUAACUGCACUUGACUGUGUGGUGCGGUAUUUAGGACAUUUACUUUGAGGAAAUUAGAGUGUUUCAAGCAAGCUUACGCCUUGAAUACAUUAGCAUGGAAUAAUAAGAUAGGACUUUGGUUCUAUUUUGUUGGUUUCUAGGACCGAAGUAAUGAUUAAUAGGGACGGUUGGGGGCAUUCAUAUUCCAUUGUCAGAGGUGAAAUUCUUGGAUUAACGGAAGAUGAACUUCUGCGAAAGCAUCUGCCAAGGAUGUUUUCAUUA